This 768-nucleotide ribosomal RNA is filed under the name Streptomyces sp. RNAcentral describes it as "bacterial SSU rRNA". It matches the Rfam family "Bacterial small subunit ribosomal RNA", at positions 87 to 866 of the family's 1533-position model. Lineage: Bacteria; Bacillati; Actinomycetota; Actinomycetes; Kitasatosporales; Streptomycetaceae. The record is from RNAcentral.
GGGGAUUAGUGGCGAACGGGUGAGUAACACGUGGGCAAUCUGCCCUGCACUCUGGGACAAGCCCUGGAAACGGGGUCUAAUACCGGAUACUGAGCCACUUGGGCAUCCAAGUGGUUCGAAAGCUCCGGCGGUGCAGGAUGAGCCCGCGGCCUAUCAGCUUGUUGGUGAGGUAAUGGCUCACCAAGGCGACGACGGGUAGCCGGCCUGAGAGGGCGACCGGCCACACUGGGACUGAGACACGGCCCAGACUCCUACGGGAGGCAGCAGUGGGGAAUAUUGCACAAUGGGCGAAAGCCUGAUGCAGCGACGCCGCGUGAGGGAUGACGGCCUUCGGGUUGUAAACCUCUUUCAGCAGGGAAGAAGCGAAAGUGACGGUACCUGCAGAAGAAGCGCCGGCUAACUACGUGCCAGCAGCCGCGGUAAUACGUAGGGCGCAAGCGUUGUCCGGAAUUAUUGGGCGUAAAGAGCUCGUAGGCGGCUUGUCACGUCGGUUGUGAAAGCCCGGGGCUUAACCCCGGGUCUGCAGUCGAUACGGGCAGGCUAGAGUUCGGUAGGGGAGAUCGGAAUUCCUGGUGUAGCGGUGAAAUGCGCAGAUAUCAGGAGGAACACCGGUGGCGAAGGCGGAUCUCUGGGCCGAUACUGACGCUGAGGAGCGAAAGCGUGGGGAGCGAACAGGAUUAGAUACCCUGGUAGUCCACGCCGUAAACGGUGGGCACUAGGUGUGGGCAACAUUCCACGUUGUCCGUGCCGCAGCUAACGCAUUAAGUG